GGCCCAAAAGGAAAACAGAAAAAUGCACGCCCUCACCCCCGUGAGCCCACGCCCGUCACUCCCCACGAACGCCGCCUCCCUCUCUCCUACAUCGGCGCCGCCCUUACCUCGCGCCGGCAGCCGCUCUCCCUCGCGCGCCGACCUCCUCCACCCCCACGCUCAGGACGCCUUCCUUCCUGCGCUCCGGUCGCCUUUCUCCUCGCGCGCCGGCCUCCUCCCUACCCCGCGCUCCGUCUGCGUUUCUUCCCGCGCUCCGGCCAUCUUCCUCCCCGCGCUCCGGCCAUCUUCCUCCCCGCGCUCCGGCCGUCUUCCUCCCCGCACUCCGGCCGCCGCCUUCCUCCCUGCGCUCCGGCCUCCUUCCUCCCCGCAAUCCGUCCGCCUCCCUCCCCGCGCUCCGUCCACCUUCCUCCCCGAGAUCCGUCCGCCUUCUCCCCUGAGAUCCCACGGCCGUACCGCCGCCGGCCAACCCCUCCAUCUGUAAGUAAGGGCACUGGGCCGCCCUCCACACCGGGGUGGCCCUGCUAGCCAUCAGCGGGGGAAGCGGAGUGGCUGCCAUGGCGGGGGUGGAGACGAGUUCGUCCUGGGCGUGCGCAUCCUCGGGAAGUCCAUCUGCAAUAUGGGCACCUCGCCGAGACCUCAUAGUGCUCGUCCCAGACUACUCUCCGAAGCCACUCGAGGUGAAGAAUACACAGGAGGAUCUGCCCCAGCAAACCACAUGUCGCCGGAGGCGCUCUGCCUCUCCUAUGCACCCCCUGCUUCUAUCUCCACCGCCGCCCUCCCUUACCCCUCUGCAGUUCUUGGCACCACGGUUGUUGCCCCGCACUGGAUAGAUGCGCCGCUGUCGCUCUGUCGCCGCAUACAGAGAGUUCAACGCCGCAACCCCCGUCUGCUCAAUCUCACCGCCAUGGGCGUGCCCCACUCCAACUCCCUCGCCUGUGCUUCCAUGGCGAAACAGUGCAACCUGCAGGAGGAAUCGUGGGGGGUCGAGGACGUCCAGCUCGGCAAUCCAACUCGGCAUGAUUCACGUCAUCGUUGGCCCCAUGUUCGCUGGCAAGACCACCGCGCUUCUCCGCCGGCACCGACAGGUACUCACCCCCGUCCCGUCUCUUACUUACUGCUUCAUGUUGUGUUGCUAAAAAUAAAAAACAAGCAAGUUCAAAUUGAAAAAUAAUGAGAAGCUAGAUGUUUAAAAAAAUCAGAAGUUAUUUUAGUGAAUCUCUAUUGAAAAUUAGCUCACGUUUUAGUGAAUCAGAAGUGGUUUGUACUUUUUUACUUGAUGCGUGUUCUUGAGCAGUUCAAAACAUGUGCUUGUUCCGUGGUUUGCUAUAACACUUGUUAGAUUGCUCUAAAAGAAGUCAUGUAUUCGUGAAUUUUCUACUGGUGUAGCAGCCCUGUAUGUAUUUUAUCAUCAGUUCAUAAAGAAAAGCUGAAAACAGUGCAGUGUGCGUGUUAAAAAAAUAAUUCAGUUUCAUAUUGUAUGGUAGUUUUCACUUCAUAGAAAAUUUCUAACAGUUCGGCCAAAAUAAAGUUUGCAUAGUUCAUACUCAAGAGGCGGUAAUGUUCAAUGACAGAAAAACAUCAGUUCAAAUAUAUAUGCAGAAGGUUGAGAGCCAAAAAAAACUGAUUUUUUUAUGUGUUUAAUUUUUCACCUGUAAGAUAGAAAUUUUUCUCUCUUGUCUAUCUUGGUUCUCUGGAAAAUUGGGCUGGGAGUCGACAAGCCGGGCAAAAUAUGUUGCUACUUCUACAGUAUCAAAGAUGAUGAGAUUCUAGUCUUGCUCGUCGAGGACCCAAUCACAGGGCAGUCUAUCGGUGCUGCAAUGCAUUAGGAAAAGUUCAAGUUUCCUAUUAGAUUUAGUUCUAUUGGAAAAGGGUCGCCCUCACCGCGCUUAUCCCCGUCGCCGGAGGGCCGACGUGCAAGGGUUGGGCCACAGCCGACACUUCCGGUCGUGCCCUACCACCGCUCAAUCUUCUCGCCUAACCCCCUUCCUCCCCGAUCUUCUAUUGAUGUACCCCAACUACCACUGGAGCUUCGGGGAGCACUCCUCCGUCCAAGUUGAGCAUUGGGCGCCGUCCGAGUAGAGCACUGCACCCCGUCCAAGUCCCCAUCUAAUGUUGAACGUUCAAUUUUGUCAUGUUGAAUAAUAUAGCGUUGAGCACCCUACAAUUUUUUUUCGCUUGAGAGCUGAGCAAACAGUGGAGCCUGCUGGAGGAGUCACGGGGUCGAGGACCUCCUGCUCAACAAUACAACUUCUUGUUUUGUGGCCGGACGCUCAAGAUAUGUAUGUGGUCCCAAAAAAACAUUUGUCAGGUUUUUGGUGGCCAAGUAUUAUUGAUAUGGAGAUGAAUAACUAUGCGGAUGCGCUCCUGUUGUUUUUCUCAAAAAAACAAGAUGCCAUGUUUACACAUCCAUAUUUAAUUUUGGAAGGUUCACACAUCCAUAUUAGAGAGAUUCAUCGGACAUAAUUUUGUAAGGUCAGAAAAAGCAAUUGCUCAGUACAUCACAGCAGCUCUUCGAUGCAAAAAGGAUGGCUCUUCUCAAGUCAGCAGCUAGCCAAACUGGCAACUUCUGGGUAGCUCAGUCAAAUAUGGCAGUUGUGCAGUAAACAGUUUCAGUUGAGAAAUCAGCAAGCGCCAUGCUCAGUCCAACCGCGUGGCUUCGGGGUGGCCGAGUUCGUCGUGACCAUCAGUUCGGAGACCUGCGUCACUGCACGUGUCGCUACCAUGGCCCCCUGUGUCACUACGUGCUCCGUCAACAACCUCCUGCACAAGGAAAGGCAACAGGAGUAGAGGCGUCUGAGAUGCUCUGUUCUAGCGAGGUGGCUGAUUAUGUUUGUUAGUUUGUAAUACUUCGGCCGCGGUGUACUUAUGUAUCUUUUUCUGGCUGGAGCACGACCAGAGCUUAUGUCAGUAUGAAUUUUGAUUGUGAUGGUACCACAAACUCUAUAAAAACUCCAGCAAUCCAAUCCAUUUUUACUGGUACUUACCUUUUAUAAAAUUCA
Molecule: non-coding RNA, 2999 nt
Organism: Triticum urartu
Lineage: Eukaryota; Viridiplantae; Streptophyta; Magnoliopsida; Poales; Poaceae
Source: RefSeq, a predicted model, not a curated record